This 862-nucleotide ribosomal RNA is filed under the name uncultured bacterium. Its description in RNAcentral is "bacterial SSU rRNA". It matches the Rfam family "Bacterial small subunit ribosomal RNA", at positions 8 to 916 of the family's 1533-position model. The record is from RNAcentral.
AGAGUUUGAUCCUGGCUCAGAACGAACGCUGGCGGCAGGGCUAACACAUGCAUGUCGAACGCCGUAGCAAUACGGAGUGGCAGACGGGUGAGUAACACGUGGGAACAUGCCCUUUGGUUUGGGAUAACUCAGGGAAACCUGAGCUAAUACCGAAUGUGCCCUUCGUGGGAAAGAUUUAUCGCCAUUAGAGCGGCCCGCGUCUGAUUAGCUUGUUGGUGAGGUAAAGGCUCACCAAGGCUACGAUCAGUAGCUGGUCUGAGAGGAUGAUCAGCCACACUGGGACUGAGACACGGCCCAGACUCCUACGGGAGGCAGCAGUGGGGAAUCUUGCGCAAUGGGCGAAAGCCUGACGCAGCCAUGCCGCGUGAAUGAUGAAGGUCUUAGGAUUGUAAAAUUCUUUCACCGGGGACGAUAAUGACGGUACCCGGAGAAGAAGCCCCGGCUAACUUCGUGCCAGCAGCCGCGGUAAUACGAGAGGCCCAAACGUUAUUCGGAUUUACUGGGCUUAAAGAGUUUGUAGGCGGUUCGGUAAGUGAGAUGUGAAAGCCCUCGGCUCAACCGAGGAAUUGCGUUUCAAACUGCCGGGCUCGAGGGAGAUAGAGGUGAGCGGAACUGAUGGUGGAGCGGUGAAAUGCGUUGAUAUCAUCAGGAACACCAGAGGCGAAGGCGGCUCACUGGGUCUCUUCUGACGCUGAGAAACGAAAGCUAGGGGAGCAAACGGGAUUAGAUACCCCGGUAGUCCUAGCCGUAAACGAUGUCAACUGGUUGUUGGGUCUCUUCUGACUCAGUAACGAAGCUAACGCGUGAAGUUGACCGCCUGGGGGAGUACGGCCGCAAGGUUGAAACUCAAACGAAUUGACGG